CCGCACGGGUGAGUAACGCGUAUGCAACUUACCUAUCAGGAGGGGGAUAACCGGCGAAAGUCGGACUAAUACCGCAUGAAGCAGGGGCCCCGCAUGGGGAUAUUUGCUAAAGAUUCAUCGCUGAUAGAUAGGCAUGCGUUCCAUUAGGCAGUUGGCGGGGUAACGGCCCACCAAGCCGACGAUGGAUAGGGGUUCUGAGAGGAAGGUCCCCCACAUUGGUACUGAGACACGGACCAA
RNAcentral lists this ribosomal RNA (237 nucleotides) under uncultured bacterium. Its description in RNAcentral is "partial 16S ribosomal RNA". It matches the Rfam family "Bacterial small subunit ribosomal RNA", at positions 98 to 334 of the family's 1533-position model. The record is from RNAcentral.